This 424-nucleotide ribosomal RNA is filed under the name uncultured bacterium. RNAcentral describes it as "bacterial SSU rRNA". It matches the Rfam family "Bacterial small subunit ribosomal RNA", at positions 355 to 796 of the family's 1533-position model. The record is from RNAcentral.
UAGGGAAUAUUGGACAAUGGGCGCAAGCCUGAUCCAGCAAUGCCGCGUGAGUGAUGAAGGCCUUAGGGUUGUAAAGCUCUUUUGGCGGGGACGAUGAUGACGGUACCCGCAGAAGAAGCCCCGGCUAACUUCGUGCCAGCAGCCGCGGUAAUACGAAGGGGGCUAGCGUUGUUCGGAAUUACUGGGCGUAAAGGGCGCGUAGGCGGCGCAUGAAGUCAGGCGUGAAAGCCCCGGGCUCAACCUGGGAAUUGCGCUUGAUACUCUAGUGCUUGAGUUCGGGAGAGGAGAGUGGAAUUCCCAGUGUAGAGGUGAAAUUCGUAGAUAUUGGGAAGAACACCAGUGGCGAAGGCGGCUCUCUGGACCGAUACUGACGCUGAUGCGCGAAAGCGUGGGGAGCAAACAGGAUUAGAUACCCCCGUAGUCC